This 386-nucleotide ribosomal RNA is filed under the name uncultured eukaryote. RNAcentral's name for it is "SSU rRNA". It matches the Rfam family "Eukaryotic small subunit ribosomal RNA", at positions 587 to 972 of the family's 1831-position model. The record is from RNAcentral.
AGCUCCAAUAGCGUAUAUUAAAGUUGUUGCGGUUAAAAAGCUCGUAGUUGGAUCUCGACUUAUGUCAAAUGGUCCACCUCUCGGUGGUUACUGUUUGCACUGAGUUCACCUUCGGAUUUGUCUUUUGUGUGCUCUUCACCGAGUGUCUUAAGCGAUCCGUUCGUUUACUUUGAACAAAUUAGAGUGCUUCAAGCAGGCAUCUCUUGCCCGAAUAAUCUUGCAUGGAAUAAUGGAAUAGGACUUCGGGUCCUUUCUGUUGGUCAUUUUGGCCUGAAGUAAUGAUUAAGAGGGACAGACGGGGGCAUUAGUAUUGCGGCGCUAGAGGUGAAAUUCUUGGACCGUCGCAAGACUAACAACAGCGAAAGCAUUUGCCAAGAAUGUUUUCA